ACAGCAGCCGCCGCGGUAAUACGAAGGGUGCAAGCGUUAAUCGGAAUUACUGGGCGUAAAGCGUGCGUAGGCGGUGAGUUAAGUCUGCUGUGAAAUCCCCGGGCUCAACCUGGGAAUGGCAGUGGAUACUGGGUCACUAGAGUGUGGUAGAGGGUAGUGGAAUUUCCGGUGUAGCAGUGAAAUGCGUAGAGAUCGGAAGGAACAUCUGUGGCGAAGGCGACUAUUUGGGCCAACACUGACACUGAGGCACGAAAGCGUGGGGAGCAAACAGGAUUGGAUACCCGCGUAGUCCCUGUCUCUUAUAC
Molecule: ribosomal RNA, 305 nt
Filed under: uncultured bacterium
Lineage: Bacteria
Description: partial 16S ribosomal RNA
Rfam family: Bacterial small subunit ribosomal RNA
Source: RNAcentral